AGAUGUGGGCUGGAUGGUUUGGUUGCUAAAGCUAAGGUCUAGUACAUGGAAGUGCUUCUAAAGUUAGCACCAAUCCGAUGUGGCUUGCAACAUUGCAGAGGUGAUGAUAGUAGUUUUUAAAAUUGUUUGAGUCCCGCUGUUUUUAAACCUAUUUCACAGGACUAUUAUAUGUUUUGCUUGAGGAUAACAAAUUAUAAGUCUGGGGGAGUUGAGAUACUAUAUAUGGAUUUUACUGCUGUUUAUGCCAUAGCAUAUGUUAUAUUUAGAUUUUUAUAUUAUGCUUGGAGUCUAUUCUAGAGUCUUUUCAAAUUUAGGUACGUUCUGGAGUAUUGUGGAGAUUAUGAAGCUAAAUGAAGCUUAAAGGGAAGAAAACCCGUAGCUGAGCAAAUAAAGAGAAGACAAAGUCGAUUCACAAAGGAAGUGUCGGUUCGACACUCAUCCUUGGUGUGGAUCGACACACGAGCGAGUAAGGCCUUGCCGACUCAAAUUCACGAAAUGGUCCCAUAAACUUCCAUAAGAUUACAAGAUUGCUACGAGUUUAGACCUAA
RNAcentral lists this long non-coding RNA (548 nucleotides) under Brassica napus (rape). Its description in RNAcentral is "long non-coding RNA (BNAP_LNC015864)". The record is from RNAcentral. Lineage: Eukaryota; Viridiplantae; Streptophyta; Magnoliopsida; Brassicales; Brassicaceae.